GUGGGGAAUCUUCCACAAUGGACGAAAGUCUGAUGGAGCAACGCCGCGUGAGUGAAGAAGGGUUUCGGCUCGUAAAGCUCUGUUGUCGGGGACGAAUGUGCAGUAUUUGAAUAAAGUAUUGCAAUGACGGUACCUGACGAGGAAGCCACGGCUAACUACGUGCCAGCAGCCGCGGUAAUACGUAGGUGGCAAGCGUUGUCCGGAAUUAUUGGGCGUAAAGGGAGCGCAGGCGGGAAGGUAAGUCGGUCUUAAAAGUGCGGGGCGCAACCCCGUGAUGGGAUCGAAACUAUCUUUCUUGAGUGCAGGAGAGGAAAGUGGAAUUCCUAGUGUAGCGGUGAAAUGCGUAGAUAUGGGGAGGAACACCAGUGGCGAAGGCGGCUUUCUGGACGGUGUCUGACACUGAGGCGCGAAAGCCAGGGGAGCGAACGGGAUUAGAAACCCCGGUAGUCC
RNAcentral lists this ribosomal RNA (450 nucleotides) under uncultured bacterium. RNAcentral's name for it is "partial 16S ribosomal RNA". It matches the Rfam family "Bacterial small subunit ribosomal RNA", at positions 354 to 796 of the family's 1533-position model. The record is from RNAcentral.